Unclassified non-coding RNA from Pongo abelii (Sumatran orangutan), 117 nucleotides. It matches the Rfam family "Metazoan signal recognition particle RNA". From Rfam's summary of the family: The signal recognition particle (SRP) is a universally conserved ribonucleoprotein. It is involved in the co-translational targeting of proteins to membranes. The eukaryotic SRP consists of a 300-nucleotide 7S RNA and six proteins: SRPs 72, 68, 54, 19, 14, and 9. NCBI's taxonomy places the organism in Eukaryota, Metazoa, Chordata, Mammalia, Primates, Hominidae. The record is from Ensembl.
GCCGGGCGUGGUGGCUCGCGCCUGUAAUCCCAGCACUUUGGGAGGCUGAGGCGGGUGGAUCACCUGAGGUCAGGAGUUCUAGACCAGCCUGGACAACACGGUGAAACCCUGUCUCUA